This is a long non-coding RNA of Dermochelys coriacea (leatherback sea turtle), 214 nucleotides long. RefSeq lists it as uncharacterized. Lineage: Eukaryota; Metazoa; Chordata; Testudines; Dermochelyidae. The record is from RefSeq and is a predicted model, not a curated record. The transcript has 3 exons.
GCUUUGUGCAUUACCCUGAGUGGCCACCGAGUGUCACUGUUGCUCCAGGAGGGAAAUGCUUUGUGCAAUACCUGGAUUAGCCACCCAGUGUCACUGUUGGUCCAUGAGGGAAAUGGUUUGUGUAUUACCGGGAUUGGCCACCUGGUGUCACUGUUGCUCCAUGAGGGAAAUGCUUUGUGCAAUACCUGGAUUAGCCACCCAGUGUCACUGUUGG